This is a long non-coding RNA of Vespa velutina, 1410 nucleotides long. RefSeq lists it as uncharacterized. The record is from RefSeq and is a predicted model, not a curated record. The transcript is spliced from 3 exons. NCBI's taxonomy places the organism in Eukaryota, Metazoa, Arthropoda, Insecta, Hymenoptera, Vespidae.
UGAUUAAAAUCGAUUAAACGAAAAUGGAGAAUAUUUGUCUUCGAUUCAAUUUUGAACUGAUUAAUUAAUGUCUAUCUAGUCUUAAACGUUAAAAAAAAAAAAGAAAUAAAGAGAAAGAACAAAAGAGAAACUAAACACAAUUAAUAGCAAUUACAGACGCUUAUUUGAUAUCUUAUUACAUUUUUAACCACCGAUCACUCUUGCUUCGUAUUUCUUGAAAAGUGAGCAUGGUUUUGUUCUUACUUUCGUUACCACUUCUAUCUGUCUCGUCUAAGUAUAGAAACGAAAACACUCUUCAUAAAGACGGAGUCAGCCGUUAUGUAUCUGUGGACUUGACAUCCCGUUUCCUUUGAUUCUAGUACGACACUCAAAUACUAUUCUUAAAUUAGGUCAGCUGAUUUUUUGAUCGAACAAGAUAAAUUUCGUGUGUUACGAUGAAAUACUCACCGAGCCGAGAACGGUCUCACGCGAACAGCCACUUUAAUGUUCGCCAUAUUGUCAGAGCCCGUUAAGAAGACACUAAUUGUCUUUCAUUCACAUUGUAACGUCGUUGAAGCUAAUUUAAGCUAUUGUUAAUGGAUGACAAUUGGAUUGAAACGAAUGAUUGAAUGAUUGACAUAUAUAUAUCAGUGAAAGACACACUAACCAGGUCGUUGCAAAGUGCAUAAGAACAUGAAAAGGCAGAAAAUGAUGGGGACGGAGUGCGUGUUCGGGCCAAGUGCACGUGCUCUACUGCUGCGAUGAAAAUAUCCACGAGACGCUCCAAAGAAUAUCAUUCGUGCUCAUGGUUUAUCCCAGCCGGGAUACUUGCUCGUACUUACGAUGCUCCAUUUAAAAGGGAAUUAUAAUCAAUUAUUAUUCUUGCAUCAAAUACCUCUACGAGAGGAGCGCAUAUAAAUAGAAAAAUGGUGCUAACUACGGUGAAUAUGAAGUAUUUGGAUAGACGAAAUGUAAAUAAACAUUUGUCCCUUAAGAUGAGAAUAUCUUCAUAGCUUGCUAAAAUCCAAUCCGUUCUCAUAGUCUCAACGAUAUAGGACAUGUCUUUGCGAUAUAAGAAAUAAAUCGUGAGUCUAAUUCCAGAGAGAUAAAAAGCAGUACAAAGAAGAGCACAUUCAGUUGCCUCGUUUAAAUUAUCGAUGUUGUUUAUUACCUCUAUUGUGGUAGCGGUGGAUAACGAUAUAAUCUAUGUAAAUAUAAAAAUUUUUUCCCUAAUUAGUAUAUGUAUAUUACAUAUUACACAUAUGUAUCUACGUAUGUAUAUAUAUGCAGAGAUAAGAAAAGGAAAUAUAUAAAAUUCUAAUAUGAUAAAAGAAAAGAAAAAAUAUAUUUCUUACCAUUAAAAACAUAGCGACUGUAUGUAAAUUUUUCAGUAUUACAGCCGUUCUAGUAGAAUCUUUAUCCAAUGGCCAA